GGCCUGGCUGGCCGGUCCGCCUCACCGCGUGCACUGGUCCGGCCGGGCCUUUCCUUCUGGCUAGCCGCAUGCUCUUCACUGAGUGUGUCGGGGAACCAGGACUUUUACUUUGAAAAAAUUAGAGUGUUCAAAGCGGGCGCAUGCUCGAAUAGAUUAGCAUGGAAUAAUGGAAUAGGACCU
Molecule: ribosomal RNA, 180 nt
Filed under: uncultured Glomeromycotina
Lineage: Eukaryota; Fungi; Glomeromycota
Description: partial small subunit ribosomal RNA
Source: RNAcentral